AUACGGAGGGUGCUAACGUUGCUCGGAAUCAUUGGGCGUAAAGCGCGUGUAGGCGGUCUGUUAAGUCGAGUGUGAAAGCCCUGGGCUCAACCCAGGAAGUGCGCUCGAUACUGGCAGACUAGAGUACGGGAGAGGGUAGCGGAAUUCCCGGUGUAGAGGUGAAAUUCGUAGAUAUCGGGAGGAACACCAGUGGCGAAGGCGGCUAUCUGGACCGAUACUGACGCUGAGGCGCGAAAGCGUGGGGAGCAAACAGGAUUAGAAACCCCAGUAGUCC
This 274-nucleotide ribosomal RNA is filed under the name uncultured bacterium. Its description in RNAcentral is "partial 16S ribosomal RNA". It matches the Rfam family "Bacterial small subunit ribosomal RNA", at positions 523 to 796 of the family's 1533-position model. The record is from RNAcentral.